AAAAUUACACUGGUAGCGGGCUAGCAGCAUAACCCUCUGUUCAUCGGACCGCUGCACAUCUUGGGCAAACAGCCAAAUACUCCCAAAGUUGGAUGGCUUCUUUGAAAAUAUAUUUUAAUACCAGCUGUUAGUCCUUGCGCAACCUAGAAAACCAAAUUCCCGUAUCUUUUCGUAAUGCUUAUCGCAAAACUUUCCAGAUGGAGAUUAGCCGUCAACCACUAGCACCCAAACGGACCUAUUUAAUGCAUGCGAGCAAGAGUUGGUUUCAUAUCCGACGGCCCAUAGUUUUCCAUCCCGAUCGGAGACAAUCGAUCCACCGUCUCUUCCCCUCCAAAUCCAAGAGAGAAACCCUCGAGCUCUCUCCCUCCUCUCUCUCUCUUCUAAAACCCUCGCCGCCCAGCUCCCAUCCUUUCUGACGCCGCCGCCUAGCUCCCCUCUAGGUUUUCUCCCAAUCUUAGCUUCCCUCUUCUUAAUAUUUAGGGUUUUGGGCGUCCCGGUAGCGCUCCGGUGAGGCGGGUAUGGAGCCGUCGUCGUCGUCUUCAGCGCCGUCGCCGGCGUCGGAGCAGGGAAAGCUCUUCGUCGGCGGGAUCUCGUCGGAAACGAGGGAGGAGGCUCUCGCGGAGCACUUCAAGAAGUACGGGGAGGUGAAGGAGGUGGUGGUCAUGAGGGACAGGACCACGGGGAACGGCCGGGGCUUCGGGUUCGUCCAGUUUUUGGAGCCGGAGGCGGCAGAGAGGGCUCUUCAGGAAAAGGAGAAGCACGUCAUUCGUGGGAGAACGGUAGAAGUGAAGAAAGCGAUACCCAGAGGUGAACAACAUCAAAGAAACCAAUCCCCUCACCACCGAUACCCAAAUCAGAGCCCCCAUCAUAGUAGAGGGUCAAGUAGGAGCAGUACUAACAAUAACAGUAGCAACGGGAGUCACUUUAAGUCGAAGAAGAUUUUUGUAGGUGGUUUGUCUGACAAUAUCACGGAAGAUGAGUUCAAGAAUUAUUUUAAGGAGUUUGGUACAAUAACGGAUGUGGUUGUGAUGUAUGAUAGUGCAACCCAUCGGCCAAGAGGCUUUGGCUUCAUCACCUUUGAUUCUGAGGAGGCUGUGGAGAAAGUAAUGCAGAAAAGUUUCCAUGAGUUGAAUGGUAAAUUUGUAGAGGUUAAGAUAGCAGUGCCAAAGGAUGGGAAUAAUCAUAACAACAAUGGCAAUCAUGAUAAUAACAAUUAUAACUCACGAACGAUUGGUGGUAGAGGACCUGCUUUUAGUAAUUACCCAGGUGGGAUUUACUCACCUUACAGUCCAAGGUAUGAGUAUUUUCAUGGUUACCCACCACCACCUUUGUAUGCUUAUGGUGCUGGUGGUUAUGGAGGAUAUACUAUUGGAGGCUAUGGUGGGAUUGGUUAUGGAAGUCCGAUUCCAGGUCCAAGGGGCCCUUGGAACGUCCAGGGAUGGGUGGCCUCAAGGCGCAGUCCAGUGCCAUACAGCAAUACUUUUACAUAUCCUGGCUACAUCAAUGGAGGCUUUGGUGGCUACACAAGUAUGGCUGGUGGCAGUUUUCGUGGGGUUGCUUCUCUUGGUAAUGGCAAGGGGAAUCAAACUGGCUCUAAUGUGCAAGCAACAGCUGUUUCUUGUACGACAACAUCGCAAGUUGAAACUGUGAAGUUGGAUGCUAAGUAACAUCUUGGUUGAAAACCAUUGGAUGGCAAUUUCUUGAAUUUUUCCGGUUCAAUCAUCAAAAAAUAUUUUUAUGCUAGAAUUCUAGUGGUCUGUGCUACACUCCCAGAUGUUACUUCUCGCCGUGCGCCCAACACAGGCUUUCUCACCAUUUAGCUGGUAAUUGUUCUGAAGCCUGAAUCUCAAUUCUCUGAUGAAAAUAGCCAUUUGAAUGAACUCAACUUUCUUUUAUACAUUUGUGCUUUAACUUAAUUGGCUGAAAACUUGGUGGUUGGAUGGGUGGCCUGGCAGGACCACAUGUUAUAUUUUUUUUAAUUCUUAAAUGCUGUCUCAGCAACCUUGUGGUUUGGAUGGA
RNA transcript from Elaeis guineensis (African oil palm), 2019 nucleotides. It is a transcript of the gene named RNA-binding protein 1, with no coding region annotated. Lineage: Eukaryota; Viridiplantae; Streptophyta; Magnoliopsida; Arecales; Arecaceae. The record is from RefSeq and is a predicted model, not a curated record.